RNAcentral lists this ribosomal RNA (506 nucleotides) under uncultured bacterium. RNAcentral's name for it is "partial 16S ribosomal RNA". It matches the Rfam family "Bacterial small subunit ribosomal RNA", at positions 28 to 523 of the family's 1533-position model. The record is from RNAcentral.
GAUGAACGCUAGCUACAGGCUUAACACAUGCAAGUCGAGGGGUAACAAGAGAAAAGCUUGCUUUUCUUGUUGACGACCGGCGCACGGGUGAGUAACGCGUAUCCAACCUGCCUAUAACUAGGGAAUAACCUUGCGAAAGUAAGACUAAUACCCUAUGAUUUCCUUUGAUGACAUCAGAUUAGGAAUAAAGAUUUAUAGGUUAUAGAUGGGGAUGCGUCUGAUUAGCUUGUUGGCGGGGUAACGGCCCACCAAGGCAACGAUCAGUAGGGGUUCUGAGAGGAAGGUCCCCCACAUUGGAACUGAGACACGGUCCAAACUCCUACGGGAGGCAGCAGUGAGGAAUAUUGGUCAAUGGGCGGAAGCCUGAACCAGCCAAGUAGCGUGCAGGAUGACGGCCCUAUGGGUUGUAAACUGCUUUUAUACAGGAAUAAAGUUAGCCACGUGUGGUUAUUUGUAGGUACUGUAUGAAUAAGGACCGGCUAAUUCCGUGCCAGCCGCCGCAGUAA